AAGCUCGUAGUUGAAUUUCGGGAUUGGGAUAUAUUGGUCAUGCCUUUAGGGGCAUGAAUCGGUGUAUGGCUAAUUCUCACCUUCUGGUGAAUUGGAAUGCUCUUGGGUGUUUCAAUGAACUAGGACCUUUACUUUGAAAAAAUUAGAGUGUUUAAAGCGGGCAUUUUUGCUUGAAUACAUUAGCAUGGAAUAAUAAAAUAGGACGAUGGUUCUAUUUUGUUGGUUUUAGGACUACGUAAUGAUUAAUAGGGAUAGUUGGG
Molecule: ribosomal RNA, 260 nt
Filed under: uncultured Glomus
Lineage: Eukaryota; Fungi; Glomeromycota; Glomeromycetes; Glomerales; Glomeraceae
Description: partial 18S ribosomal RNA
Rfam family: Eukaryotic small subunit ribosomal RNA
Source: RNAcentral